CUACGGGAGGCAGCAGUGGGGAAUAUUGGACAAUGGGGGAAACCCUGAUCCAGCCAUGCCGCGUGUGCGAUGAAGGCCUUCGGGUUGUAAAGCACUUUCAGUCGGGAGGAAAGGUUGCAAGCUAAUAUCUUGCAAAGUUGACGUUACCGACAGAAGAAGCACCGGCAAACUCCGUGCCAGCAGCCGCGGUAAUACGGAGGGUGCGAGCGUUAAUCGGAAUUACUGGGCGUAAAGCGCGCGUAGGCGGUUACUUAAGCGAGGUGUGAAAUCCCUGGGCUCAACCUGGGCACUGCACUUCGAACUGGGUGACUAGAGUUUUGGAGAGGAGAGUGGAAUCCCCGGUGUAGCGGUGAAAUGCGUAGAGAUCGGGAGGAACAUCAGUGGCGAAGGCGGCUCUCUGGCCAAAAACUGACGCUGAGGCGCGAAAGCGUGGGGAGCAAACAGGAUUAGAUACCCUUGUAGUCC
This 465-nucleotide ribosomal RNA is filed under the name uncultured bacterium. RNAcentral describes it as "bacterial SSU rRNA". It matches the Rfam family "Bacterial small subunit ribosomal RNA", at positions 339 to 796 of the family's 1533-position model. The record is from RNAcentral.